This 82-nucleotide transfer RNA is filed under the name Hofstenia miamia. RNAcentral's name for it is "tRNA-Ser for anticodon UGA". It matches the Rfam family "tRNA". Rfam says of the family: Transfer RNA (tRNA) molecules are approximately 80 nucleotides in length. Their secondary structure includes four short double-helical elements and three loops (D, anti-codon, and T loops). Further hydrogen bonds mediate the characteristic L-shaped molecular structure. tRNAs have two regions of fundamental functional importance: the anti-codon, which is responsible for specific mRNA codon recognition, and the 3' end, to which the tRNAs corresponding amino acid is attached (by aminoacyl-tRNA synthetases). tRNAs cope with the degeneracy of the genetic code in two manners: having more than one tRNA (with a specific anti-codon) for a particular amino acid; and 'wobble' base-pairing, i.e. permitting non-standard base-pairing at the 3rd anti-codon position. The record is from RNAcentral. Lineage: Eukaryota; Metazoa; Xenacoelomorpha; Acoela; Hofsteniidae.
GCAGUCAUAACCUAGUGGUUAAGGCGUUAGACUUGAAAUAUAAUCCCUGCUGGGGUCGCAGGUUCGAAUCCUGCUGACUGCG